UGGGGGGAAAUUAGUUUUCUAAUUAGGUUUAGAACCAUGUGCCAUAAAUAGCAUUGCAUUUGUGCGAUAGUUUCAGUCUAAAUCCGUUUCACCGUCACCAUGAAGGUUGUAAUAUUGACUUUGGCCGUUAUCACCCUUAUGGGUAGUCACAUUCUUGGCGUUGAUGGGUUAGAGGAUGUUGCAAUGGUCAGAAGCCGUCGGCAGAGCUUUGGCGGUAACAUGAACUACGAUUUGAAUUUCGAGAAGUUUGCCAAUUUGAUGAAGGGUAUGAUGAAAGGUGGCAGAGGAGGAGGAACAGGUGCAAAGGCAGCUCCAGCAGUUGGAGCUGCUGUACCAGCUGUAA
This is a long non-coding RNA of Aedes aegypti (yellow fever mosquito), 343 nucleotides long. RefSeq lists it as uncharacterized. The record is from RefSeq and is a predicted model, not a curated record. The transcript has 2 exons. Lineage: Eukaryota; Metazoa; Arthropoda; Insecta; Diptera; Culicidae.